RNAcentral lists this ribosomal RNA (264 nucleotides) under uncultured bacterium. RNAcentral's name for it is "partial 16S ribosomal RNA". It matches the Rfam family "Bacterial small subunit ribosomal RNA", at positions 90 to 354 of the family's 1533-position model. The record is from RNAcentral.
UCUUAGUGGCGGACGGGUGAGUAACGCGUGGGUAACCUGCCCCAUACCGGGGGAUACCACCUGGAAACAGGUGCUAAUACCGCAUAAGCGCACGGGAGCGCAUGCUCCUGUGUGAAAAACUCCGGUGGUAUGGGAUGGACCCGCGUCUGAUUAGCCAGUUGGCAGGGUAACGGCCUACCAAAGCGACGAUCAGUAGCCGGCCUGAGAGGGUGGACGGCCACAUUGGGACUGAGACACGGCCCAAACUCCUACGGGAGGCAGCAG